UACGUAGGUGGCAAGCGUUGUCCGGAAUUAUUGGGCGUAAAGCGCGCGCAGGCGGCUUCUUAAGUCUGAUGUGAAAUCUCGGGGCUCAACCCCGAGCGGCCAUUGGAAACUGGGAGCUUGAGUACAGAAGAGGAGAGUGGAAUUCCACGUGUAGCGGUGAAAUGCGUAGAUAUGUGGAGGAACACCAGUGGCGAAGGCGACUCUCUGAUCUGUAACUGACGCUGAGGCGCGAAAGCGUGGGGAGCAAACAGG
This 252-nucleotide ribosomal RNA is filed under the name uncultured bacterium. Its description in RNAcentral is "partial 16S ribosomal RNA". It matches the Rfam family "Bacterial small subunit ribosomal RNA", at positions 524 to 776 of the family's 1533-position model. The record is from RNAcentral.